Long non-coding RNA from Papaver somniferum (opium poppy), 2297 nucleotides. RefSeq lists it as uncharacterized. The record is from RefSeq and is a predicted model, not a curated record. Lineage: Eukaryota; Viridiplantae; Streptophyta; Magnoliopsida; Ranunculales; Papaveraceae. The transcript is spliced from 3 exons.
AAGAGAAGACUUUUACUUUCUCUUUUCUUCUUCUUUCCUCUUCUUCUCUUCUUCUUCUCUUUUUCUUCUCGUUUCAUCUUUCUUUUCUUCUACUGCUUUGAGAGUCGACUGUGAGGUUCGGUUUGAGAGAUCAAAACAGAAAAUUUGUGAUCAGCAGAAGGUAGAGAAGAUCAUGGAAUAGUUUAUGGUGAUGUUAUGAUUGUUUUUGGUUGAUUCAAGCUCAAAAGAAGAGGUGAAGUAGAGAAAGAAUAUUAGGUUUUUUUGAGAGAUGAGUUCGAUUAAGGAUUUAUGUGAUAUUAAAGAUGAAAUCAAGUAAAUUAAGAUGGGUUUAUGUAUAAUUGAGUUAUGAAGUUGAUUCAGUGAAGAUCGAGGGGUUAGGGUUUCUGCAUGUGGUGUUGGAAUUCGAUUUGAGUAAGAAUUAAGAAGAUAUAUACGGAAUUAAAAGAUGGGUUUGCUUAAUUGAAGAGUUGAUGGGUGUUUUGAGUUUGAAUUAGAGAUUGAAGGCAGUUAGGUUUCAUGUGUUCUUCCCCAAAGUGGAAGUAGGGUUUCAGUAGAAUUGAAUUAGGGGAAAAGUAAUUAUGUGGAUGUUGGUUCUUGGGUAAGAUUCUAAUUUUAUUCAAGAUUGGAUUUUUAGUUUAAAUUGCUUAGACUAUUGAAUUGCUACAUUGUAAAUGGUACUGUUUUGAGUUAUGAGUUGUUAUUGAAGAUAUAAUGAAAUUGGGAUUGUUUUGGAAACUUGGUGUUGAGAGAAGGGUAUGGAUUGGAACUAUGUUUUGUAUUGAAUUACAUGGAGGUAGGUUGAAUGUUGUAAUCCAGUGGCUGGUGGGGUAUGGAGUCAGAGUUGAAUUGCUAGAGGUUUAGGAACUAAGGGAAUUGGUGAAGAUGCUUGAAAGGAUGAUCUGUGCAGUGAGAUAGAAAUACAUUUUGGAGUGUAAUCUGUGUUGAUAGUGGUUGGUGAGUUACAAAGACAUGGGUGAUGAAAUUGAACUGUGGUUGUAGUUUAGUAUGUAUUAGAGAUGAUAUGAGUAUUUUUCCUGAGAAGAUGUACAUGGUGGUGGCUUGCUGAGAUAAACUAAUUGAACUAAAGUGAUGAGUCUAGAUGAUUGAUUGUUGGGUCUAAUGAUUACAUAGAGUGGAUAUUUUUGGUUUGAAAUUAUAAUUAUAAGUGAUGUUGUUUGUGUUGGCUCUUAACUGUGGAUAACAGGUGGUGGCGGUGAGCUGUGUGGGUAGUUUGAAGAUGAUUGUAAGUAUGAAGCUUUAGAGUUGCAGUCACAACUUAAGAGUUGUUGGUGGUUUAGAAUUAGUGUUCUGUGACCAGAGAAUAAUGAAGAUGGGUGCUGCGGAGUAGAGAAGAUAGGGUUGUGGUUGUUUAGGAAUUAUUGUGGUUGAGAUUAUAAUUUGGAGUUGUGUUUAUUUACAGGGAGGAGAGUUGUAUCACAUAGAACUGUUGGAGUUAGUAUGGUAACUGGAGAUGGUGUUGUUUGUGAAGACGAAGUAAAAUGGAUUUGAAUAGAGCUGAAAUAGGUACACUAUUGGUGGUAGUGAGUGUGGUCUCAACUGAAGUGCAGAUGGAGUCAUAAUGUUUUGGUAUUACUGAAAUUGGAGAUACCACUGUAAGUAAGGGAUAUGGUGGUUGUAUUAUAUGAACUGGUGGUGUUGAGAUGAUUAAAUCUAGAACUGAUAUUUAUUGGUGGUAAUGGAUGUGUAGUGUGGUUUGAAAUGGAUUUGAACCUCUCUUGUAAAAGCUUGCAACUUCUGCUAUUGCAGUUAAUCUAUAUUAACAACGAUAGAUGCAAAGGAUGAACCAGUGGAUCGUGGAUCUCGAUGUAGGCGUGGCUUGUCAUCAGAAGAGUUUCAGAGACAGAUCAGAGUUGCGCAGCAAAAGCUUCAAGGGUCGAGUUCUUUAGUUGUUUAACUUCUGAUAUGUUUAUUAUGUUGCAUAUUAUAUUUGUAAACCAAACAACUAUUGUAUAUGUAUCAGUUGAGAGAAGUUCUUGUAUAUAUAUAUAUUUCUGAACGGGGCUAGUUUUGGGUUAAGUUUUGUGGUAGAUUUCUUAAUUGAAUAUUUAAGUAAAUGUUUUGGAUUCAUAGUGCCUCUUUAUUUAGUUAAUCUCUUGGAUUAGUCAACUGCUAGCUUUGGGGGCGCUACAGUGUUGGUAUCAGAGCUCAUUAUUAGAUCUUAUAUGGGAAACAAUAGGAAUAGUCAGUUCCAGUUAGGGAAAUAGAUUGGUUUAUAACUGGGUUGGGCUGUGAGAUAAAUCUUAAUCACUAAAAGCUAUCAAUAAUUAAAAGAUUUA